ACGAGUUUGAUCCUGGCUCAGAACAACGCUGGCGGCAUGCCUAACACAUGCAAGUCGAACGAGACCUUCGGGUCUAGUGGCGCACGGGUGCGUAACGCGUGGGAAUCUGCCCUUAGGUUCGGAAUAACUCAGGGAAACUUGAGCUAAUACCAUAUAAUGUCUUCGGACCAAAGAUUUAUCGCCCUGAGAUAAGCCCGCGUAGGAUUAGCUAGUUGGUGGGGUAAAGGCUCACCAAGGCGACGAUCCUUAGCUGGUCUGAGAGGAUGAUCAGCCACACUGGGACUGAGACACGGCCCAGACUCCUACGGGAGGCAGCAGUGGGGAAUAUUGGACAAUGGGCGAAAGCCUGAUCCAGCAAUGCCGCGUGAGUGAUGAAGGCCUUCGGGUUGUAAAGCUCUUUACUCGGGACGAUAAUGACGGUACCGAGAGAAUAAGCCCCGGCUAACUCCGUG
RNAcentral lists this ribosomal RNA (452 nucleotides) under uncultured bacterium. Its description in RNAcentral is "bacterial SSU rRNA". It matches the Rfam family "Bacterial small subunit ribosomal RNA", at positions 1 to 507 of the family's 1533-position model. The record is from RNAcentral.